RNAcentral lists this transfer RNA (72 nucleotides) under Camelus bactrianus (Bactrian camel). It matches the Rfam family "tRNA". Rfam says of the family: Transfer RNA (tRNA) molecules are approximately 80 nucleotides in length. The record is from Rfam by way of RNAcentral. Lineage: Eukaryota; Metazoa; Chordata; Mammalia; Artiodactyla; Camelidae. RNAcentral also lists the same sequence under 1 other name.
GAGGGAAUAGCUCUGUGGUGGAGCACGUGCUUGGCGUGCACGAGGUCCUGGGUUCGAUCCCCAGUGCCUCUG